CAGUUCGGAUUGCAGGCUGCAACCCGCCUGCAUGAAGCCGGAAUCGCUAGUAAUCGCGGAUCAGAAUGCCGCGGUGAAUACGUUCCCGGGUCUUGUACACACCGCCCGUCACACCAUGAGAGUCGGGAACACCCGAAGUCCGUAGCCUGACCACAAGGGGGGCGCGGCCGAAGGUGGGUUCGAUAAUUGGGGUGAAGUCGUAACAAGGUAAC
RNAcentral lists this ribosomal RNA (212 nucleotides) under uncultured bacterium. RNAcentral's name for it is "partial 16S ribosomal RNA". It matches the Rfam family "Bacterial small subunit ribosomal RNA", at positions 1289 to 1500 of the family's 1533-position model. The record is from RNAcentral.